CGUGCAGUCUCAGUACAGACUAUAUUAAAGUGAAACCGCAAAAGGCUCAGUAAACCAGUUUUAAUUUACUAGAGUUAACUUGACUGUGUUUGGAUAACUGUGGUAAUUCUAGAGCUAAUACAUGCAACCAAGCCGUGACCAUUCGUGGUCAGGGCGCUUUUAUUAGACCAAGACCAAUCGCCCGGCCAGUCCGGGCGUUCAGUUGAGGAACCUAGAUAACACAGCAGAUCGCAUGGUCCUCGUACCGGCGACCUAUCUUUCAAAUGCCUGACUUAUCAACUGACGAUGGUAGACUCUGUGUCUACCAUGGCUGUUACGGGUAACGGGGAAUCAGGGUUCGAUUCCGGAGAGGGAGCCUGAGAAACGGCUACCACAUCCNAGGAAGGCAGCAGGCACGCAAAUUACCCACUCCCGGAACGGGGAGGUAGUGACAAAAAAUAACGAUACGGGACUCGAUAUGAGGCCUCGUAAUCGGAAUGAGUACACUCUAAAUCCUUUAACAAAAAUCUAUUGGAGGGCAAGUCUGGUGCCAGCAGCCGCGGUAAUUCCAGCUCCCAUAGCGUAUAUUAAAGUUGUUGCGGUUAAAAAGCUCGUAGUUGGUUCUGCGUCCCGCGCUGUCGGUACACCGUUUGUCGGUGACACUGGCAUGACGCGGGAUGUCCUGUCGGUGGCGGCGGAGACCAUAUCGCCGUCGGGUAACACCGCGGCGUGUUGGCCUUCUGUCGCCGGCUAUAUCCUACCGCGGUGCUCUUCACUGAGUGUCGAGGUAGGCCGACACGUUUACUUUGAACAAAUUAGAGUGCUUAAAGCAGGCAAAAAUCUCUGCCAGAAUAGUGGUGCAUGGAAUAAUGGAACAGGACCUUGGUUCUAUUCUGUUGGUCUCCGGAACACAAGGUAAUGAUCAAUGUGGACAGGCGGGGGCAUUCGUAUUGCGGCGUUAGAGGUGAAAUUCUUGGAUCGUCGCAAGACGCACUAAAGCGAAAGCAAUUGCCNAGUAUGUCUUGAGCUUUCCCCGGGAAACCAAAGCUUUUGGGUUCCGGGGGAAGUAUGGUUGCAAAGCUGAAACUUAAAGGAAUUGACGGAAGGGCACCACCAGAAGUGGAGCCUGCGGCUUAAUUUGACUCAACACGGGAAACCUCACCAGGUCAGGACAUUGGAAUGAUUGACAGAUUGAUAGCUCUUUCUUGAUUCAGUGGGUAGUGGUGCAUGGCCGUUCUUAGUUGGUGGAUCGAUUUGUCUGGUUAAUUCCGAUAACGAACGAGACUCUAGCCUAUUAACUAGACGCGUUUGGUAUCGAAUCUACCGGCGAACUAUAUUCUUCUUAAGGGGACAGGCGGCUUUUAGCCGCACGAGAUUGAGCAAUAACAGGUCUGUGAUGCCCUUAGAUGUCCUGGGCCGCACGCGCGCUACACUGAAGGAAUCAGCGUGUGCGUUCCCUUGGCCGAAAGGUCCGGGUAACCCGCUGAACCUCCUUCGUGCUAGGAAUUGGGGCUUGCAAUUGUUCCCCAUGAACGAGGAAUUCCCAGUAAGCGCGAGUCAUAAGCUCGCGUUGAUUACGUCCCUGCCCUUUGUACACACCGCCCGUCGCUACUACCGAUUGAAUGAUUUAGUGAGGUCUUCGGACUGGCGGUAAGCCCAACCGACUCGUCGGUUUUGUCGAACGCUGGAAAGAUGACCAAACUUGAUCAUUUAGAGGAAGUAAAAGUCGUAACAAGGUUUCCGUA
Molecule: ribosomal RNA, 1724 nt
Filed under: Cimex adjunctus
Lineage: Eukaryota; Metazoa; Arthropoda; Insecta; Hemiptera; Cimicidae
Description: SSU rRNA
Rfam family: Eukaryotic small subunit ribosomal RNA
Source: RNAcentral